GACCACACACACCAAGUAAUAUCCUCUCCAUUUACAAUAGGGUGCCUUCUGAAUAAAUGACUCUGUAACUUUACUUCAUUCUUGGUUACAGCCAAGUAACCAAUGGGAAGCCUCUAAAGUGUUGAAACUCCAACAAGUUCUGUAACCGGGGGUCUUGAGCCCCUAUACUUGGGCCACUCCCACUCAGUGGAAUGUACUUUCGUUCUCAAUAAAUCCUUGUGCAUUUUGUCCAAUUCUUUGUUAGAGAUGCCGAGUACCUGGACACCUUCUGCCGGUUACAACUUCAACCUCCGCCUCCUGGGUUCAAGCGAUUCUUCUGCCUCCGCCUUUUGAGUAGCUGGGAUUACAGGGCGUUGGAGAAUUCAAUCCCAUCUGUCAUGUGGAAAUUUACAUCAAUCUAACAUUACUCAAGCUGGAAAGGAUCUUAUCGAGUCUUCUACUUCAACCCAUUCAUUUCAAGAUGUGGAAACUAAGGCUCAAAGAGAUAAAGUGACUUGUCCAAGAUCCCAGCUCCAGGUGGCGGCCCUUCUUACGCGCCUGCCGCAAGGACCUCUUGACCUUCUUCACUCGCUCCCGGAGCUGCCGGUUGCGCUUCUCCAGGGUGGCCACUUUCUGCUGCAGUUUCUUGACGUGGUCCUCCUCCUCAAACAAGGCCUUCUGCACCGAGGAGCACAUGAGCUGGAGGCAGAGACAGCGUGCAAGGAGAGGAGGGCUGCACUUAGCCUCCAGAGUUGUCUCUUCAACAAGACAGGUCUGAUCAUCUCAGUAACCUUCUUCUGGGACUCCUGUUAGACGUGUAUAUUUAAUACCAUUGGCUAAGUCGUAACAAUCAUCCAAGUCAACCGACCUCCCAGCCUGCCCACAUUGCCUCCCUGUAGGAAGUGAUUUUGCACACAGAAGCCCCUGGUGGGGUAGGGUGGAGUGUGAAGUAUCUGUUCUUGGACCACAGUUCCAUCCCUGGAGCAGCAAUUGUGAAGCAUCGUUCUCCUGUUCCAGCAUCUCUCCAAAGACGCUCAGGUCUCCGUCACAGGAUCACCAUUGAAAAAGGUGUCUGUCCCUCUGACACAUACCCAGGGGAGGAAAGAGCAAGCUUUGGAGGCACCUGGUUGACUUCACCUGGAGAUCUUGUUGGGUCUGUAGUUUAUGCCUGGAAGUGCUGCAGCCUUUUUGCAUCCAUGAAGGAAUCUAGCCUGAGAACAACAGUACCACGAAGAGAGAAUGCCGAGCCAAAAGAAUCACCAAGAGGGGACCCAGAUCCCUGAUUAACCCGUGCCUGGAGCUACCACUACCUUUGCUUUCUUGCCUCAUGUGAUAAUACAUUUCCUCACUGUUUGAAAUUCAUUGAGUCCAGUUUUCUCUUACUUGUAGCCAAAGGCAUCCUUAACAAUGUAAUUGACUCCACUUUGCAGAUGAACAAAGAGACAAAGAGGGCAAGUGACACCUACAGUCACACCACUGGUAAAUGUAUUAAGAACAUGCAGGCAUUAGGGAGUAAAGUUUAUACAUAAUUUAAAGUAGUAUGUAGGAGUUUAGGACAGGCCACCCCAAAAUAUGCUGCUUUGGCAUAAAGACUACUUUGAGCUGGAGGAACUUGAAAAACAGUACAUGCAGACAGUGGCUUUCUCUGAAUUCCCUUUAUCUGCCUAAAGACAAAACCUCCAAAAGGAGCUCAGUUGUCGUCAGUACCCCCACCCCUGGGAGUUUCAUCAACCAGGGAAAAUUAACUCUUAUCACAGGAGAGGAGAAUGGAGGUGACAUCACACCCAAGGUUUGUCACAAGCUAUCACUUAUUCUGAGGGUCUAUUCAUCUUUCCCCAAAAUCAUUUUCUCUCUCCUAAAUUGCCUACAUCCCCCCUCCCUGCUUUCCCCAAAAAGAGGGUAUAUAACCUUCUAAAUCUCACUGUUUUAAGGGGUAUGACUUUUUUUCCUAUGAUGUCCCUGUGCAC
Homo sapiens (human) is the source of this 1946-nucleotide long non-coding RNA. Lineage: Eukaryota; Metazoa; Chordata; Mammalia; Primates; Hominidae. The record is from Ensembl.